This 75-nucleotide transfer RNA is filed under the name Rickettsia sp. RNAcentral's name for it is "tRNA-Thr". It matches the Rfam family "tRNA". From Rfam's summary of the family: Transfer RNA (tRNA) molecules are approximately 80 nucleotides in length. Their secondary structure includes four short double-helical elements and three loops (D, anti-codon, and T loops). The record is from RNAcentral. RNAcentral also lists the same sequence under 3 other names. Lineage: Bacteria; Pseudomonadati; Pseudomonadota; Alphaproteobacteria; Rickettsiales; Rickettsiaceae.
GCCGCUAUAGCUCAGAGGUAGAGCACAUCAUUGGUAAUGAUGAGGUCGUAGGUUCAAUUCCUACUAGCGGCACCA